AAGACACCGUAGAGACAGCUACCACAUCUCAGGAAGGCAGCAAGCACAC
RNAcentral lists this ribosomal RNA (49 nucleotides) under Symbiodinium sp. CCMP2430. RNAcentral's name for it is "partial Eukaryotic small subunit ribosomal RNA". The record is from RNAcentral. Lineage: Eukaryota; Dinophyceae; Suessiales; Symbiodiniaceae.